AAUUAACGCUGGCAGAGUGCAUAACACAUGCAAGUCGAGCGGGACUACUUGAGAUUACAUCAACUGGUAGUCUAGCGGCAGACGAGUGAGUAACACGUAGACAAUCUGCCCCCGAAGGUAGAUAACGCGCCGAAAGGACGUGCUAAUGCGCCGUACUAUCCCACGGAUGGCAUCAUCAGGGGAGUGAGAGGCCCGCCAAGGGCC
Molecule: ribosomal RNA, 204 nt
Filed under: uncultured bacterium
Lineage: Bacteria
Description: partial 16S ribosomal RNA
Rfam family: Bacterial small subunit ribosomal RNA
Source: RNAcentral